ACUAACCCGACAGUGAGCGUUUUUCUGAACCAAUACGCACAUCGAGGGGAGCAUACUGAUGCCGGCGUUGUGCAAGCCCACCCUGAGUGGGAAGCCUGAACCGUCACAUCCGCCCCCCACCUGAACCCCAGGGUUCAAAUAACAGAGCUGCCGGGUUACUU
Molecule: non-coding RNA, 161 nt
Organism: Legionella geestiana
Lineage: Bacteria; Pseudomonadati; Pseudomonadota; Gammaproteobacteria; Legionellales; Legionellaceae
Rfam family: 6S / SsrS RNA
About the family: E. coli 6S RNA was the first non coding RNA to be sequenced, but its function was unknown until recently.
Source: Rfam